This 2927-nucleotide ribosomal RNA is filed under the name Salmonella enterica subsp. enterica serovar 4,[5],12:i:-. Its description in RNAcentral is "23S ribosomal RNA". It matches the Rfam family "Bacterial large subunit ribosomal RNA". Lineage: Bacteria; Pseudomonadati; Pseudomonadota; Gammaproteobacteria; Enterobacterales; Enterobacteriaceae. The record is from RNAcentral.
GGGUUGUGAGGUUAAGCGACUAAGCGUACACGGUGGAUGCCCUGGCAGUCAGAGGCGAUGAAGGACGUGCUAAUCUGCGAUAAGCGCCGGUAAGGUGAUAUGAACCGUUAUAACCGGCGAUUUCCGAAUGGGGAAACCCAGUGUGAUUCGUCACACUAUCAUUAACUGAAUCAAUAGGUUAAUGAGGCGAACCGGGGGAACUGAAACAUCUAAGUACCCCGAGGAAAAGAAAUCAACCGAGAUUCCCCCAGUAGCGGCGAGCGAACGGGGAGGAGCCCAGAGCCUGAAUCAGCAUGUGUGUUAGUGGAAGCGUCUGGAAAGGUGCGCGAUACAGGGUGACAGCCCCGUACACAAAAGCGCAUGUGCUGUGAGCUCGAUGAGUAGGGCGGGACACGUGGUAUCCUGUCUGAAUAUGGGGGGACCAUCCUCCAAGGCUAAAUACUCCUGACUGACCGAUAGUGAACCAGUACCGUGAGGGAAAGGCGAAAAGAACCCCGGCGAGGGGAGUGAAAAAGAACCUGAAACCGUGUACGUACAAGCAGUGGGAGCACCCUUCGGGGUGUGACUGCGUACCUUUUGUAUAAUGGGUCAGCGACUUAUAUUCUGUAGCAAGGUUAACCGUAUAGGGGAGCCGGAGGGAAACCGAGUCUUAACCGGGCGUUAAGUUGCAGGGUAUAGACCCGAAACCCGGUGAUCUAGCCAUGGGCAGGUUGAAGGUUGGGUAACACUAACUGGAGGACCGAACCGACUAAUGUUGAAAAAUUAGCGGAUGACCUGUGGCUGGGGGUGAAAGGCCAAUCAAACCGGGAGAUAGCUGGUUCUCCCCGAAAGCUAUUUAGGUAGCGCCUCGUGAAUUCAUCUCCGGGGGUAGAGCACUGUUUCGGCUAGGGGGCCAUCCCGGCUUACCAACCCGAUGCAAACUGCGAAUACCGGAGAAUGUUAUCACGGGAGACACACGGCGGGUGCUAACGUCCGUCGUGAAGAGGGAAACAACCCAGACCGCCAGCUAAGGUCCCAAAGUCAUGGUUAAGUGGGAAACGAUGUGGGAAGGCCCAGACAGCCAGGAUGUUGGCUUAGAAGCAGCCAUCAUUUAAAGAAAGCGUAAUAGCUCACUGGUCGAGUCGGCCUGCGCGGAAGAUGUAACGGGGCUAAACCAUGCACCGAAGCUGCGGCAGCGACGCUGAUGCGUUGUUGGGUAGGGGAGCGUUCUGUAAGCCUGCGAAGGUGACCUGUGAGGGUUGCUGGAGGUAUCAGAAGUGCGAAUGCUGACAUAAGUAACGAUAAAGCGGGUGAAAAGCCCGCUCGCCGGAAGACCAAGGGUUCCUGUCCAACGUUAAUCGGGGCAGGGUGAGUCGACCCCUAAGGCGAGGCCGAAAGGCGUAGUCGAUGGGAAACGGGUUAAUAUUCCCGUACUUGGUGUUACUGCGAAGGGGGGACGGAGAAGGCUAUGUUGGCCGGGCGACGGUUGUCCCGGUUUAAGCGUGUAGGUGUGUGUUCCAGGUAAAUCCGGUUCACUUUAACACUGAGGCGUGAUGACGAGGCACUACGGUGCUGAAGCAACAAAUGCCCUGCUUCCAGGAAAAGCCUCUAAGCAUCAGGUAACAUCAAAUCGUACCCCAAACCGACACAGGUGGUCAGGUAGAGAAUACCAAGGCGCUUGAGAGAACUCGGGUGAAGGAACUAGGCAAAAUGGUGCCGUAACUUCGGGAGAAGGCACGCUGACACGUAGGUGAAGUGAUUUACUCACGGAGCUGAAGUCAGUCGAAGAUACCAGCUGGCUGCAACUGUUUAUUAAAAACACAGCACUGUGCAAACACGAAAGUGGACGUAUACGGUGUGACGCCUGCCCGGUGCCGGAAGGUUAAUUGAUGGGGUCAGCGCAAGCGAAGCUCCUGAUCGAAGCCCCGGUAAACGGCGGCCGUAACUAUAACGGUCCUAAGGUAGCGAAAUUCCUUGUCGGGUAAGUUCCGACCUGCACGAAUGGCGUAAUGAUGGCCAGGCUGUCUCCACCCGAGACUCAGUGAAAUUGAACUCGCUGUGAAGAUGCAGUGUACCCGCGGCAAGACGGAAAGACCCCGUGAACCUUUACUAUAGCUUGACACUGAACAUUGAGCCUUGAUGUGUAGGAUAGGUGGGAGGCUUUGAAGUGUGGACGCCAGUCUGCAUGGAGCCGACCUUGAAAUACCACCCUUUAAUGUUUGAUGUUCUAACGUGGACCCGUAAUCCGGGUUGCGGACAGUGUCUGGUGGGUAGUUUGACUGGGGCGGUCUCCUCCUAAAGAGUAACGGAGGAGCACGAAGGUUGGCUAAUCCUGGUCGGACAUCAGGAGGUUAGUGCAAUGGCAUAAGCCAGCUUGACUGCGAGCGUGACGGCGCGAGCAGGUGCGAAAGCAGGUCAUAGUGAUCCGGUGGUUCUGAAUGGAAGGGCCAUCGCUCAACGGAUAAAAGGUACUCCGGGGAUAACAGGCUGAUACCGCCCAAGAGUUCAUAUCGACGGCGGUGUUUGGCACCUCGAUGUCGGCUCAUCACAUCCUGGGGCUGAAGUAGGUCCCAAGGGUAUGGCUGUUCGCCAUUUAAAGUGGUACGCGAGCUGGGUUUAGAACGUCGUGAGACAGUUCGGUCCCUAUCUGCCGUGGGCGCUGGAGAACUGAGGGGGGCUGCUCCUAGUACGAGAGGACCGGAGUGGACGCAUCACUGGUGUUCGGGUUGUCAUGCCAAUGGCACUGCCCGGUAGCUAAAUGCGGAAGAGAUAAGUGCUGAAAGCAUCUAAGCACGAAACUUGCCCCGAGAUGAGUUCUCCCUGAGACUUAGAGUCUCCUGAAGGAACGUUGAAGACGACGACGUUGAUAGGCCGGGUGUGUAAGCGCAGCGAUGCGUUGAGCUAACCGGUACUAAUGAACCGUGAGGCUUAACCUUACAACGCCGAAG